GGUGGUGUGGUGUAGUGGUUAGCGUUGUUGGCUUCCACGCACUAUGCUGAGGUUCGAAUCUCACCAUCGUCA
Non-coding RNA from Arthromyces matolae, 72 nucleotides. NCBI's taxonomy places the organism in Eukaryota, Fungi, Basidiomycota, Agaricomycetes, Agaricales, Lyophyllaceae. The record is from the annotation of a GenBank genome assembly.